GUGUCCGGAGACCACGUGAGGCGGCGGCGGGCGUGGCCAGAGCGUGGUCACGUGGCCGGCCAGUCCUCCCGCGCGGGCACGCGCCUGCUGAGCCCCGCCUCCCGCCAGCCAGGGCAGAAGCGGGCGGCCACGAGGGGUCUGCGGCGCUGCGGUGGCGGCGGCGCUCCGGGAUCCGGUCCGCCCGAGCACGUGCACUAACUUUAACGGAUGCGCUGGAACUUUUUCCAGCGCUGGGCUUGCGGUCUAGAAAUAACACUCAAGUAAAUGUUCCCUCUCCCCCUCCGCUCAGCCGCCAACUUUAGGACAUUCACCAAGGCACUGCAAACACGAAAAGAACCUCAGGACUCGGUUGCAUGAAUUCUGUGCGGCCACACCUUUAAAAGCCAUACUGGUCUCCAACGAAAGGAUCCUCAUCGGGGAAUAAUAGAAAAUUGAGGCCAGAAAUGAAUGCGCGACAGCAACCAUUUUUGCUCUGGUGUUCCCAGCAUCACAGGGUGUGCGAUAGGAGAUGAGAAAUUUGCUGUCAACCCUUGCGGCUACCUGUCCACACAGAAGCAAUAAUCCCAAAAGGCAAGGGAGUGAGGUGCCACUGGAUUAAGCCCUUGCUUUCACACCAAGAAUGUGCUGACUGGAUCCGUACAAACUCCUUUCUAUGGACAGGAGAUCUAGGCUCCAAGACCGGCCUGACUUAUCCAAUAGAGGGGGCCCUCGGGUGGCAGUUGGCUUCGCUCUAAGAUCUCAGCUCUGUUAUACCUCAUUGCCUCCCAAAGGGAAAUCAAGUUCGCUUACAACGCCUUCAGCAAUGAGAGGUGUCCAGUGGAAUGGAGGCUGGAAAGGUGGUAGCCCCUAGAAGGAGGGCCUGCUGGAGAGACCCUUAAUAGGACAACGGAGAGGUGCAGGAGCAUUGGAAGUGGAACGCAUGGAGGAGUCUUGCCUGGCAGCGUUGGCGUGGGCCUAGGAUGAAGACCAGGAGUGGGAGAUGACAGCAGGGGAGGGAGAACCAAUACCAGGCGGGAGUGGAAAAGCCCCUUCAGGCAUAGCUAGCUGAAAGUGAAAUACAAGGGGACCCUUGUAAAAUACUAUGUCAUGAAACUAGGUGCUGAGGGCUGGUCCAGGAUACAGAAGGGGGGAUUGCAGGCCUUUUGAAAAUGUUUUUUGACCACUACAAUCACUCCCAUGUGGAUAAACGUGUUCCAUUAAUUUUAAUUAUUCCAGCAACUGUCAUAUUACUAGAGAAACAGACACGUGAUGCAGAGAGAGAAGUAAAAGAAAAAAAAAAAAAAAACACGAUCAUGUGAAGGGAAAA
Felis catus (domestic cat) is the source of this 1306-nucleotide long non-coding RNA. RefSeq lists it as uncharacterized. The record is from RefSeq and is a predicted model, not a curated record. NCBI's taxonomy places the organism in Eukaryota, Metazoa, Chordata, Mammalia, Carnivora, Felidae. The transcript is spliced from 2 exons.